This is a long non-coding RNA of Cydia strobilella, 434 nucleotides long. RefSeq lists it as uncharacterized. The transcript has 3 exons. NCBI's taxonomy places the organism in Eukaryota, Metazoa, Arthropoda, Insecta, Lepidoptera, Tortricidae. The record is from RefSeq and is a predicted model, not a curated record.
GGAGGUACGAGGAGAGGAAAACCCAGGAAAAGGUGAAUGGACUGUGUGAGAGAUGAUAUGAAGCGAACGCAAGUGAAUGAUGAGAUGACGGGUGACAGAGAGGUAUGGAAGGAAAAGACAUGCUGCGCCGACCCCAAGUGAAUGGGACAAGGGCAAGCGAAUGAUGAUACCUGUUAGUCUCCGUCAUUUCUGAACCGAUUUGGAUUUUUUUUUUUGUUUGAAUUAUUUAUACAUACAGAUUGGUCCCGUUUUUAUCAAAACGCAGUUCUGAUGACGGGAUCCAUGAGGAAUCGAGGGAACUCCUCAAAUAUUAAAGGCAUACAUAUAGUGAUUUUAGUAUUUUCAUUAACAAAUCAAGCAUUUACAUUUUAAAAGGUGACAUUUGAGGAAGUGGAACUGCUGAUGAUGAUCAGAAUGGAACUCUUCAACGACAC